CCUUUCAAGGAAAAAGCUCCUCUGUCUCUUCCCUUUUCCCACAAACACGAAGGUGCGACAGAAGACAAUGAAGCCUCAUGCCCGUGUGUGCGUCUGUCCUGCUUGUACUCUGAGGUGCUAAAAGAAUAAGAUCCAUAUCGCUUCUGCGGUGAUGCUGACAAAAAAGAUGGAACCUUAAUGUGGUGUCCUGGGGAGAUAUAUGGAGAACAUUCAGUCAGGGCUGACUGGUCAACGGAGACUCCUAUGACAGGAUCUGGCUGGAUAUGACAGGAACUCAACUACCGACAUCACAGUGCAGACAGAGAGUCAUUUUUAAGAGGAAAUCAGUUACGGAAAAAGGAACCUUCCUGCUCCCAUCGCCUCGACUGCUUCUGGAGUGGCUUCAUCUUCUCCUAUAUCUCCACUUCGGUAUGAUUGAAAUUUGAAAGCAUGUAGCUGUUCAUUGGAGAGUGAUUAAAGAGCCUCAUUUCUUGGAAGACUCAGCACUCAUCAUCCGCCAUGAUGAAUGAGUGUCUAACAUUCCCUGAUCCCAUUAUAUCGUGAUUAAUUGUGCCAGUUUAAGUCAAUAAUUCAUUUGUUAAAAAUAGGGCUGUGAAGUAUCAUUUGUCUCUAGGGAGCAAUCAGAAUAUUAAAAAAAAAAAUCAUUUGCUACUUCUCAUUAAAUUAGUGUUGGGAGUCCUACCGAAGGGUUCUCUUCAUCAAACAUUUAUUGCGAGCUUAUUUGAUAAGAAGCUGUAUUUGUCUAAAAUUAUGUCUGCUAACAGACAUAACAGCUUACAUUUUUUCUGGCAUUAAUGGGAGGAUUUCUUUUCUUUCCUCUUCAUUUUUAUAGCAAAAGUCUAAAUAGGUGUAUGACUGAGGAACUGGAUCAACAAUAAGAAUGAUUUCUGGAUGCUUGCUUUAGAAAAUGGAAAGAAAUAAUGCCCUAAUCUUUCAAAAUGAACUGAGUUCUUCCUUCCUCUCCUGGAAUGACAGUCUUGUAAUGGCAAAUUGUGCAUCUGCAGUGGGAAAUCUACAGACCCCAAAGUCUCAUAUUUAUAAAUGGUUGUAAAUGUUGCAUUCAUAUUCAUUGAGCCAUUAAAAACUGUUCAGCUG
This 1095-nucleotide long non-coding RNA is filed under the name Salvator merianae (Argentine black and white tegu). RNAcentral describes it as "lncRNA (ENSSMRG00000021386.1)". The record is from RNAcentral. Lineage: Eukaryota; Metazoa; Chordata; Lepidosauria; Squamata; Teiidae.